UGGGGAAUAUUGGACAAUGGGCGCAAGCCUGAUCCAGCCAUACCGCGUGGGGGAAGAAGGCCUUCGGGUUGUAAAGCCCUUUUGUUGGGAAAGAAAUCCAGCCGGCUAAUACCUGGUUGGGAUGACGGUACCCAAAGAAUAAGCACCGGCUAACUUCGUGCCAGCAGCCGCGGUAAUACGAAGGGUGCAAGCGUUACUCGGAAUUACUGGGCGUAAAGCGUGCGUAGGUGGUUAUUUAAGUCCGUUGUGAAAGCCCUGGGCUCAACCUGGGAACUGCAGUGGAUACUGGAUGACUAGAAUGUGGUAGAGGGUAGCGGAAUUCCUGGUGUAGCAGUGAAAUGCGUAGAGAUCAGGAGGAACAUCCAUGGCGAAGGCAGCUACCUGGACCAACAUUGACACUGAGGCACGAAAGCGUGGGGAGCAAACA
This 427-nucleotide ribosomal RNA is filed under the name uncultured bacterium. RNAcentral's name for it is "partial 16S ribosomal RNA". It matches the Rfam family "Bacterial small subunit ribosomal RNA", at positions 355 to 774 of the family's 1533-position model. The record is from RNAcentral.